GGGCUACGGUGAGGUCUCGCGGCAACCUCCCACCCGUGUCUCUCUCUACCUGUUGCUUUGGCGGGCCCACCGGGGCCACCCGGUCGCCGGGGGACGUCCGUCCCCGGGCCCGCGCCCGCCGAAGCGCUCUGUGAACCCUGAUGAAGAUGGGCUGUCUGAGUCGAAUGAAAAUUGUCAAAACUUUCAACAAUGGAUCUCUUGGUUCCGGCAUCGAUGAAGAACGCAGCGAAAUGCGAUAAGUAAUGUGAAUUGCAGAAUUCCGUGAAUCAUCGAAUCUUUGAACGCACAUUGCGCCCCCUGGCAUUCCGGGGGGCAUGCCUGUCCGAGCGUCAUUUCUGCCCUCAAGCCCGGCUUGUGUGUUGGGCGUGGUCCCCCCGGGGACCUGCCCGAAAGGCAGCGGCGACGUCCGUCUGGUCCUCGAGCGUAUGGGGCUUUGUCACUCGCUCGGGACGGAUCGGCGGAGGUUGGUCACCACCACAGUUUUACCACGGUUGACCUCGGAUCAGGUAGGAGUUACCCGCUGAACUUAAGCAUAUCAUAAGCCGGAGGAAUC
This 553-nucleotide ribosomal RNA is filed under the name Trametes versicolor. Its description in RNAcentral is "eukaryotic LSU rRNA". The stretch from base 179 to 332 matches the Rfam family "5.8S ribosomal RNA". The record is from RNAcentral. Lineage: Eukaryota; Fungi; Basidiomycota; Agaricomycetes; Polyporales; Polyporaceae.